RNAcentral lists this ribosomal RNA (732 nucleotides) under uncultured Leptotrichia sp. RNAcentral's name for it is "bacterial SSU rRNA". It matches the Rfam family "Bacterial small subunit ribosomal RNA", at positions 28 to 776 of the family's 1533-position model. The record is from RNAcentral. Lineage: Bacteria; Fusobacteriati; Fusobacteriota; Fusobacteriia; Fusobacteriales; Leptotrichiaceae.
GAUGAACGCUGACAGAAUGCUUAACACAUGCAAGUCAAUGGGGAAACGGUGCUUGCACCGUGAUAACCAUGGCGGACGGGUGAGUAACGCGUAAAGAACUUGCCUCUUAGUCUGGGAUAACAGAUGGAAACGACUGAUAAAACUAGAUAUUAUUAAAGUUUCGCAUGAAGCUUUAAUGAAAAGAGAUGCUAAGAGAGAGCUUUGCGUCCUAUUAGUUAGUUGGUGAGGUAACGGCUCACCAAGACGAAGAUAGGUAGCCGGUCUGAGAGGAUGAACGGCCACAAGGGGACUGAGAUACGGCCCUUACUCUUACGGGAGGCAGCAGUGGGGAAUAUUGGACAAUGGAGGAGACUCUGAUCCAGCAAUUCUGUGUGCACGAAGACGGUUUUCGGAUUGUAAAGUGCUUUCAGCAGGGAAGAAGAAAGUGACGGUACCUGCAGAAGAAGCGACGGCUAAAUACGUGCCAGCAGCCGCGGUAAUACGUAUGUCGCAAGCGUUAUCCGGAAUUAUUGGGCAUAAAGGGCAUCUAGGCGGAUAUACAAGUCAGGGGUGAAAACUUAGGGCUCAACUCAAAGCUUGCCUUUGAAACUGUAUAUCUAGAGUGCUGGAGAGGUGGACGGAACUACACGAGUAGAGGUGAAAUUCGUAGAUAUGUGUAGGAAUGCCGAUGAUGAAGAUAGUCCACUGGACAGCAACUGACGCUGAAGUGCGAAAGCUAGGGGAGCAAACAGG